This is a long non-coding RNA of Panicum virgatum (switchgrass), 1153 nucleotides long. RefSeq lists it as uncharacterized. The record is from RefSeq and is a predicted model, not a curated record. The transcript has 3 exons. Lineage: Eukaryota; Viridiplantae; Streptophyta; Magnoliopsida; Poales; Poaceae.
AGUAGCAAAUGGGAAGGAUAUCAUGAGGUCGUUCAGUGAUGGGAAAGUCCUCGAGGAUAUGUUUGUCCAGUUUGCGAUUGAAUGCAUCAAGUACGAUGACAGGACCAAACGAUCAUUGUCGCACGGCACCCGUGUGAUUGUUGACAUGUUCACCAUGAGAGCUCUCAAUGCAGAACAUCUUCACCUCAAGGACGACCCAGAUGCUGAUUUCACGUCGCACAGGAUCAAGAAAUCACUUGAUAGAAUGCUUCCAUGUAGUGAGGCCAUGAAGAACACACAAAUGGUAUGUCCAUGCUCAGUUGCUGUUCUAUGUCCUUUUUAUACACAGUUAUAUUUAUUUGUUUUAGAACAUUUCAUGUGAUGUUGGAGGUAUUUUUGUAUAGAUCCUUGUUCCAAUGCUUCAACACAUCCACUGGGUCCUGUAAGUCGUGAAGAGAAUCAUGAAGUGUAUCCACAUCAUUGAUUCGAACCCUUACGGUAAUGAGAUGAAUUUCACAAGAUGGCAGGACUUCCACCAGCAAUCCGUAACUAUUAGGGGGGAGUCAGUGAGGUUCAACAAGCUCAUGAUGAACCGCCUCACCACAGCUCUCCAGAGGGUCCGACCAAAUUCCGGGUUCCCUAAGUUUGGGAACUGGGAAUUCAAAUUUGAGCAUGAAGCUCCCCGUAUGAAGUACGGGUCCAACGACUAUGGGUUUUUUUUAUUAAAUAUAUGCAGUCAUUCGACGCGAAACGUGGCAUAGUUGAAUGUGUCAUAGACCGGGAAAGGAGCCCUGAUCUGCGGGCAGAAAUUGCUGAAUACUUGAUUUUCCAUGACCUCAAUGAAGUAACGGAACUCCCAGAAGAGGUCACUAGGUGUCGGGCGAUGCCGUCAUGAUUUGUUUGACAAUGUUGUUGGUAUUACCAAGACCAGAGUGCCAGAGAAACUUGAAUUUAUUUAUUUUAUGCGUAGUUCUGUACUCCAGCCGCAGAAUAAUAGCCUGUUCGACAUGUUUAUGUUGACCAGGGUUUAUGGUUUGUACACUAACAAUUGUACUUUAACGGCAGGAAUUUGUGCUUAGAGCAUAGAAGAUGCGUUGUAUCAGAAUAGAUACAUCUAGUUCAGUCUCAUGUAUCUGUGUUUUCACCGUAUAAUUUGGAAGUUUUGAUUGCGUCU